This 1109-nucleotide long non-coding RNA is filed under the name Marmota monax (woodchuck). Lineage: Eukaryota; Metazoa; Chordata; Mammalia; Rodentia; Sciuridae. The record is from RNAcentral.
UGAAUCCCAUUCUCCUCCCUUUGUGGCUUCACAGAGGGGUUUGCUAUUACUGAAAUUUGGGGAUCCAUAUAUGACUGAAUCUGAUAGCCCCCAUGAAUUCUCUAGUCUAAUGGAAUAUUGAAAGGAAUAGAAACAAGCAGAUUUCCUGUUUCUUUUGAGUGCAAGGGGCUAUUGUCUGUUCUGUUGCUUAGUCAGAGGGUAAUCAAAGUAUUUGACCUUUUUCUUGAUAGAUAUGGUCUUUUAUGUCAGAGUCCAGUACUGUUCCAAGGAUAGUGUCCUCAAGCCCCUGGGGGAAAUUGUCAUUUAGGGAAGGGGAGCAUACAUAGAUCCUCUGGCGCUUUAAGAUGCAGGAAUUUUUUGUUGUUGUUGUUAUCUCCCGGUGUAGGAUCUUGGCUAUUCAGAUUCUCCAACUCUCAAAUCUAAUGUAAAUCUUAGCAAAGAUUGAUGACCUGUGAUAUCAUUUGUAUAAAAGGUACCUAUGUCAAUCUCACCAUCGGCUGUCUGCCAAGUUUGCACGGCAGGCUCCCUGCAGGUCCUGGUGUGGCAGCCAUAUUGUGCUCACCCAGGUGUUGCUCUUUGAGUGGCUUUCUUUUCUUGACAGGUGGGAGCCUGCUCUAAUUGUAUAUAGUAGCUGCCCCACUUGUGUUUUGUUCGCUUGCCUUGGUGCAUGGACCUCUGUGUCCCUUCCUGUUGGUGGUCACAGUGUGUGGCUUGUAGCCAGUGUGGCAUGUCUUUCUGGAGUGUGCACCCUAUGGCCCACUAACUGGAUUUAACAUGAAUUUAUUUCUGAUUCAUAUUUUGGGCUUGCAGCAGUUGAGCCCUCUUGAUGUGUUGCGUCCUGUGCAUCAUAUAGAGUUGAGUGUGUUUAUCGGAAUUCUUCCAUAUUCAUCAAUCAUCAAUUUCCAAGCAAGUGGGAAGAAAAUGAAAGGAGAGUUUAGCACCAAAGGCUGUGAGAAAGCAUUCAUUACUUCUCUGGUUAAGGCUUACAUUUGAGCAUGGAAAUUGGUGCUUGCCCCCUGGGCCACUGGAGCCUUCCCCUUUAGUCUGGCCAUGCUUUUUUCCCCAUAUAAACAUUUUGACCAUUGGCUUUGUCUAGUGAGACCCCCCCC